Molecule: ribosomal RNA, 440 nt
Filed under: uncultured bacterium
Lineage: Bacteria
Description: partial 16S ribosomal RNA
Rfam family: Bacterial small subunit ribosomal RNA
Source: RNAcentral
CCUACGGGUGGCUGCAGUGGGGAAUAUUGCACAAUGGAGGGAACUCUGAUGCAGCGACGCCGCGUGAGUGAAGAAGUAUUUCGUUAUGUAAAGCUCUAUUAGCAGGGAAGAAAGUGACGGUACCUGAAAAAGAAUCUCCGGCUAAAUACGUGCCAGCAGCCGCGGUAAUACGGCGGGUGCGAGCGUUAAUCGGAAUUACUGGGCGUAAAGCGCUCGUAGGCGGUAUGUCAAGUCAAGGGUGAAAUCCCCGCGCUCAACGUGGGAACUGCCUUUGAAACUGGCAAACUGGAGUGUGUGAGAGGAUAGUGGAAUUCCAGGUGUAGGAGUGAAAUCCGUAGAUAUCUGGAGGAACAUCAGUGGCGAAGGCGACUAUCUGGCACAUAACUGACGCUGAGGAGCGAAAGCGUGGGUAGCAAACAGGAUUAGAUACCCCGGUAGUC